Molecule: ribosomal RNA, 252 nt
Filed under: uncultured bacterium
Lineage: Bacteria
Description: partial 16S ribosomal RNA
Rfam family: Bacterial small subunit ribosomal RNA
Source: RNAcentral
UGCAAAGCCGCGAGGCAGAGCGAACCCCAAAAAGCCGUCCCAGUUCGGAUCGCGGGCUGCAACCCGCCUGCGUGAAGUCGGAAUCGCUAGUAAUCGCGGAUCAGCAUGCCGCGGUGAAUACGUUCCCGGGCCUUGUACACACCGCCCGUCACACCAUGAGAGUCGGGAACACCCGAAGUCCGUAGCCUAACCGCAAGGGGGGCGCGGCCGAAGGUGGGUUCGAUAAUUGGGGUGAAGUCGUAACAAGGUAGC